This 465-nucleotide ribosomal RNA is filed under the name uncultured bacterium. RNAcentral's name for it is "partial 16S ribosomal RNA". It matches the Rfam family "Bacterial small subunit ribosomal RNA", at positions 28 to 507 of the family's 1533-position model. The record is from RNAcentral.
GACGAACGCUGGCGGCGUGCUUAACACAUGCAAGUCGAACGGAAAGGCCCCUUUGGGGGUACUCGAGUGGCGAACGGGUGAGUAACACGUGAGUAACCUUCCCUUGACUUCGGGAUAACUUCAGGAAACUGGGGCUAAUACCGGAUAGGAAUCCUUGCUGCAUGGUGGGGGUUGGAAAGCUUCGGCGGUUUUGGAUGGACUCGCGGCUUAUCAGCUUGUUGGUGGGGUAGUGGCUUACCAAGGCUUUGACGGGUAGCCGGCCUGAGAGGGCGACCGGCCACAUUGGGACUGAGAGACGGCCCAGACUCCUACGGGAGGCAGCAGUGGGGAAUAUUGCACAAUGGGCGGAAGCCUGAUGCAGCAACGCCGCGUGCGGGAUGACGGCCUUCGGGUUGUAAACCGCUUUCAGCAGGGGCGAAGCUUGUGGUGACGGUACCUGCAGAAGAAGCACCGGCUAACUACGUG